GGGUCUAUGCAGAUAGUAAUGGGGGAUGUGAAUCACUUGUCAGUAUUUUAAAGUACUUCAUAUUUUCAGCUACUAAUAUAAGCUAACAACAUCGUCCAUUUUCUUUGAUUUUGCCUAGAAUCACAUCAUCUCAUUGAGAUAAACCAGAUAUUUCAUGCAGUCUUCAGCCUGGCAAACAGCUAUUACGGACAAUGUGGAAGGAAGGUGGUGGAAAAUGAACUUUACAGAUUGCCCUCAGUCAUUAGCGAAAGUCACAAAGUCCAUAGAAGGCAGGACGUCAGUGGACAGGUGGUCCAGGUCGCCUGUGGUCAGGACCAUAGUCUGUUCCUAACGGAUAAAGGAGAAGUCUAUUCUGGUGGAUGGGGCGCAGCUGGGCAAACAGAAGGACAUGUUUUUGUCUGAGGCUACGGAAUUCUUGGCAAAGGACCAAACCUAGUGGAAACUGCUCUUCCGGAAGUGAUUCCACCCACUCUCUUCAGCUUGAUGGAGUUCAACCCAGAAGUCCAGGUUUCCCGCAUUUGCUGUGGACUCAGCCGCGUUGCUCCUCUUACCAGUAAGUGGCCAAGCCCGUGUGGCCCCAGUGACGGGCCGAGCUGCAUUCUCUUAGGUUCACCCCAAGCCGUGGGCAGCUUUCAGUGUCCAUCCAUCCAGUGGAGGGGCGCCCCACGUGGAUAAUUACAGAGAGCAGCUCAUCCAGACGUUGUUUGGCUUGAAGUUGUAUAAUGUGUGUCUUUUUUCAUCCUGGAGUUUUGUUUUUGGUUCCUUUGGUUUGUGGUUGGGCUCAUGUGAAAGUGAAUUUUCUCAAGAGGACGCCAGUCGGUGGUAGGAGGGGGACCCUCGAGAUGUCGGGGUGCUGGGGAACCCAGCAGAGUUUUGGUGAAUCCCCGGGAGAGCCAUUGGGAAAUGAAAGUGUGGGACUCAUCCCGCUCCUGGCCAAGCCCAAACCCUGACC
Molecule: long non-coding RNA, 952 nt
Organism: Diceros bicornis minor
Lineage: Eukaryota; Metazoa; Chordata; Mammalia; Perissodactyla; Rhinocerotidae
Exons: 5
Source: RefSeq, a predicted model, not a curated record